GGGCUUCUCGGUCGGCGAAGGGAGAAGGCCGGGGAGGCCCGCAUCCCCCUGCCGGCCCCCCUCCGCUCCCGCUGCAGCACUUAAGAUGCAAAUGUGCGCGGUGAUUAGCCGCGGGGUCGCUAAUUACCGCCGGAGCCAUUCAUUACGCUGUCAGCGCGCGUCGCGGCCCGCCGGCUGCGCGCUCCCCGCUGGCUGCCCGGGGACCGGGUUAGGGGCGCGCGAAGGCCGGGGUAGGGGGUGGGGUCAUGGCUGCUUGUCACUUGUGGAAACUGAGGGUGAGAGAGCUCAAGGGGUUCGCCCCCGCCUUGCCCAACCGAGGAAGCAGCCACCGCAGGUCUUUGAGCCCAGCCGCUCCGACCCAUCUCCCUGCUUGAGGAAUGGACUUUCCAGCUGCCCACUGAAGGACCUGGGAGUCUAGACGGUUGUCCUAGGCGUUUUCCCAAGAGAAUGCUCGUGGAAUUCCAGUCGGCAGACCCAUCCUCCAAGGAAAAGCCUUGGGAUCACAUCAAAGACUCCAAGAAGAAGCGAGAGUGUAGCCCGGGGGCUCAGAC
Molecule: long non-coding RNA, 551 nt
Organism: Oryctolagus cuniculus (rabbit)
Lineage: Eukaryota; Metazoa; Chordata; Mammalia; Lagomorpha; Leporidae
Source: RefSeq, a predicted model, not a curated record